CAUAUAUUUAAUAUGUCUAUGCCCACUAGGACUUCACUCCAUGAAAUUCUGAUUCAGUUUGGCCUGUCUUGGGAUCUAUAAAUUCAAAAUGAUCCAAAGGUGAUUCUAAAGCAAGUACUUAAUUAAGCUACAAUGUGGCUUUCACAGACUUUUAAAAUAUAAAAAUAAGGUUAGCUUUUCCCUAGCAUUGGCAGACAUAUCCUUAGAGAGAACAUGCUACCAAUUUCCCAGAAAUGUUGUUAUCCGAUCUUAAGUGUGUUUGGAUACAGUGAAAAAUAAGAAUGUGUGAGAGAAAGGCUAGGCCAUCUUGCUUUACGUGGGCCCUAGCGCCAAGUUCACCUGUGUGGAACUAGAGCUUCUUUUGUGUUCUUUUGUCUUACCUUUAUUCCUCAUGAAAUUUGCUGAAAGGGGUGAAUCAGCGAUAUCCUUGAAUCACUAGCAUUUAGGAAUCCCUGUUAGAGUUUGACAGCAUUCAGUGGUAGCUCAGUGUGAAGUAGCAAGAGUAUUUUUAUUGUAUGUUGUGUUUUCUUGGACUUUGACAUUUUUCAAUUUUCUUGGUUUACACUACUCUUUAAAAUUAGUUUAACAUCCAAUUCAGACGGCUAUUGUUGCAGAAAAUGUGGUUAUGAAAGAGCAAAGCUUUUUGUAAUCUGGAAAGUGAUACACAAAAGUUGCAUCUAAUUAAAAAUCACCAUCAUGAAUUUAAUGAUCCAAAGGAUGCUGAUCUUUGAAGCACAUUUUACUACGUGUAGUUAACGUGUAGUUACUUAAACCCCACCUUUUGUAAAACGUUAAGACAGUUUUUUUUUUUUUUAAACUUACUAAUCUUUUUAUUCACAGAUACCACAUGAAACUUUGCUUUUGUUUCUGGCAACAAUGAACCGCAUUGAAGAAAAUUAAUUGAACCUUGAAAUUUUCAAAAUGCUUGUAGAGCAAAGAGACCAAGACCUGUAGCUGGCUAAGUAUCCCCUGGAGAGAAGACAGCAUGCUAUCCAGGAUGCUGGAGUUCACAAGAAAGGUUAAGCUUACAAUAUAACACAUGUUCAAGAGCCCCUUCUGAAAAAACUAAAGAGAUGAAAAUACUUCACACAUUGCUGAUAUCUUCUUGAGAAAGAGUAGUCCCGUUGAAGGUACAGUUGCUUUCUGGCUUCUCUUAGAAAAUCUAAAUUCCAACAUAGUUGUUAGAUGAAACUAUACAAUCCAAACCUCCUCUUAUUGACAAUGGAAUUUGGCUUUGGGUAAGUGACUUCAUUACUCAUCCAUUAGUUAUUCUUUGAACAAAAGCAGUUUUGUUGCUCAACUUAGGAUCUGAACAGAUAAACGUCCAACACCCUUUGCGCUGAGACUUGGAGUGGUGCCAAAGCCAUCUUGAGAGUUCAAGAGUAAAGGCUACAGUGUUACAGGAUCUGAAUAUCAGAUCCAUUCACAUUUAAUCAAUGUCCCUGAGCUGCAAAAUACACAAAUAAUUGCUUUUCCGGAGAUUACUCAAUUUUAAA
Long non-coding RNA from Lutra lutra (Eurasian river otter), 1496 nucleotides. RefSeq lists it as uncharacterized. NCBI's taxonomy places the organism in Eukaryota, Metazoa, Chordata, Mammalia, Carnivora, Mustelidae. The record is from RefSeq and is a predicted model, not a curated record. The transcript has 3 exons.